UGCCUUAGUAUAUCCAUCCUUGUACUUAGGUUUUUGAAGCCUACAGAAUAGGCACAU
RNAcentral lists this transfer RNA (57 nucleotides) under Trichuris ovis. RNAcentral describes it as "tRNA-Gln". Lineage: Eukaryota; Metazoa; Nematoda; Enoplea; Trichinellida; Trichuridae. The record is from RNAcentral.